RNAcentral lists this transfer RNA (74 nucleotides) under Bacillota bacterium. RNAcentral describes it as "tRNA-Gln". It matches the Rfam family "tRNA". Rfam says of the family: Transfer RNA (tRNA) molecules are approximately 80 nucleotides in length. Lineage: Bacteria; Bacillati; Bacillota. The record is from RNAcentral. RNAcentral also lists the same sequence under 1 other name.
UGGGGCGUGGCGUAACGGUAGCGCCCGGGUCUUUGGAACCCGUGGUCCAGGUUCGAAUCCUGGCGCCCCAGCCA